GUAUAUAUUAAAGGUACAAAAGCACCUGAUUCAACAUUCUAAACAAAUUCAUAGGUUUGUGAAAUAAAUGACAUAGACCUGAAAAAUACAAGGGAAAGCUGGUGGUUAGCACAGCAGUCCCCAACUCGAAAAUGAAUCAAAGGCUCUCAGGUCUACAAUAGGUGCACAGUUGGAGAAAUAAAGAUGACAAGCGUGCACAUACCCAAUGAAGGGAUAGCAACAGCCUGUUCAAGUUUAUUCAAUAAUGAUCCUUCCGCAGGUUCACCUACGGAAA
Molecule: unclassified non-coding RNA, 274 nt
Filed under: uncultured fungus
Lineage: Eukaryota; Fungi
Description: sequence contains ITS1
Source: RNAcentral